GGGGAUAUAGCUCAGUUGGCAGAGUGCUUGCCAACAUGCACAAGACCCUGGGUUCAAUCCCCAGCACCACCA
RNAcentral lists this transfer RNA (72 nucleotides) under Ictidomys tridecemlineatus (thirteen-lined ground squirrel). RNAcentral describes it as "Spermophilus tridecemlineatus (thirteen-lined ground squirrel) tRNA". It matches the Rfam family "tRNA". Rfam says of the family: Transfer RNA (tRNA) molecules are approximately 80 nucleotides in length. Their secondary structure includes four short double-helical elements and three loops (D, anti-codon, and T loops). The record is from Rfam by way of RNAcentral. RNAcentral also lists the same sequence under 1 other name. Lineage: Eukaryota; Metazoa; Chordata; Mammalia; Rodentia; Sciuridae.